AAUUAAAAUAUUUUGCUCAUUGCAGAAACCAAGCCUAAAAGAGAGAGAGAGAGAGCAAAGAUUUAAUUUUAAUUAGGUUGCUUAAUACUCUAUUUAAAUACCUGAUAACAUUACAAUAUAAAUAUGUGGAUCUGUCUUUGUUUUUAUUUGUUAGGCUGCUGUCUCUUUAAUGUCAAUCUUACAACUCCUUUUGAUUCAUAAGAAAGACAAAUUGUUUUAGCUUUAGCAUAAAACAAAAAUAUCUUUUUUAAUCUUUUCAUUUAAAAAAGUAAAUAACAUAGCAUCAUGAAAAGAAAAUUAAUGAAAAAUUAAAAGUAAGCUGUAGUUUUUAUCUUCCUUAUGAUUUAGUUUUCUCCUUGAAUAGCAUACCACAACUCCUUGCUUUCAUUUAAGAUUUCAGUAUUUUAAAAUAUCACUAUAAACUUAUGCUUAAAACAAAAGUGUGUCAAAAUAACUCUUUUAUUAGUGCCAUUGAUAAAAGUAAUCAAGGACCGUUACUCCUGACUGAUAAAAAUGAAAUUUGUCAUUAUCAAAACUGACCUCCUUUUUGUCAUUAGUUGCAACAUAUAUAAAAAAUCAAAAUGCAUCAUAGUUAAAAGAUUCUCAGCUUAUUGCAAUGGAAAUGACUUAAAAUGACUUUUUCAAAUCAAUCAGGGACCAUAACUCCAGAAUAGCAAAGUGGCAAGUCAUCAAUAACCACCUUGACCUCUAUUGUGUUAUCAGUAACAAAAUAUUAAUAUUUGAAAUAAAACAUUGGUUAAUCAGAUCUCAAGUUAUUGCACAAAGACAACACUGGACGGAAGUGGUAUUUUCAAAUCAAUCAAGGACUGCAAAAGUGACCACCAUUAUUAUGAAAGGUGAUCCCCAUUUUGUUAUCAGUAGCAACAUAAAAUACUUGUAAAGCUCAAUGUAAGGUAAACAAGUCAUUGCACAGAAAUAGAUUAACCUGAGAACCCACAUGCCCUCCCUUUAUACAACCACUAAUACAUUACAAGGUUCCAAUGAAAAGCAUGUCAAAAAAUAAAUGUGAACCAGAUGCUCCGCAGGGCGCAGCUUUAUACGACCGCAGAGGUUUAACCCUGAACGGUUGGGGCCUUUGGACCUUAAUGUAGACCAAUUAGAAAACGGGAUCAAAAAUUAAGAAUCUACAUACACAGUUAGAUUAAGCAUAUCAAAGAACCCCAAUUUAUUCAAUUUUUGAUGAAAUCAAACAAGUUCAUUUUGGACCUUUGGGCCCUUAUUCCUAAACUGUUGGGACCAAAACUCCCAAAAUCAAUACCAACCUUCCUUUUAUGGUCAUAAACCUUGUGUAUAAAUUUCAAUGAUUUCUAUUUACUUAUACUAAAGUUAUUGUGCGAAAACCAAGAAUAAUGCUUAUUUGGGCCCUUUUUGCCCCUAAUUCCUAACUGUUGGAACCAAAACUCCCAAAAUCAAUCCGAACCUUCCUUUUGUGGUCAUGAACCUUGUGUCAAAAUUUCAUAGAUUUCUAUUCACUUAAACUAAAGUUAUAGUGCGAAAACCAAGAAAAUGCUUAUUUGGGCCCUUUUUGGCCCCUAAUUCCUAACAUGUUUGGACCAAAACUCCCAAAAUCAAUCCAAACCUUCCUUUUGUGGUCAUAAACCUUGUGUCAAAAUUUCAUCGAUUUCUAUUCAAUUUUACUAAAGUUAGAGUGUGAAAACUAAAAGUAUUCGGACGACGACGACGACAACGCCAACGUGAUAGCAAUAUACGACGAAAAAUUACAAUUUUUGCGGUCGUAUAAAAAUAAUAAAGACCUGUGCAAUGAGUGCAUGAUAGGCCUGUCACUUUCUCUUCAAUGAAUAAACUUCCAUUACUCAUUAAUGUGAUAAUAAAAAUUUAUAAAACACUCAAUAAAGCUUAUUUUAAUAAAUAUAAAGCAGUUACCAAAUUUUAAGGGAAAAAGCUUUUUUGUAUUAUUGUCCAAAA
Molecule: long non-coding RNA, 1947 nt
Filed under: Mytilus galloprovincialis (Mediterranean mussel)
Lineage: Eukaryota; Metazoa; Mollusca; Bivalvia; Mytilida; Mytilidae
Source: RNAcentral